CCGCGCUGUGAUGAGCCCGUCCGGCUGUCGAGUGUCGCCACCAUGAGAGCCGCCUGCAUGCACUACCAGCUGAGCGCGG
This 79-nucleotide small nucleolar RNA is filed under the name Malurus cyaneus samueli. Lineage: Eukaryota; Metazoa; Chordata; Aves; Passeriformes; Maluridae. The record is from RNAcentral.